UUAGUGGCGGACGGGUGAAUAACGCGUGGAUAACCUGCCGUAUACAGGGGGAUAACACUUAGAAAUAGGUGCUAAUACCGCAUAAGCGCACGGUUCCGCAUGGAACAGUGUGAAAAACUCCGGUGGUAUACGAUGGAUCCGCGUCUGAUUAGCCAGUUGGCGGGGUAACGGCCCACCAAAGCGACGAUCAGUAGCCGGCCUGAGAGGGUGAACGGCCACAUUGGGACUGAGACACGGCCCAAACUCCUACGGAAGGCAGCAG
Molecule: ribosomal RNA, 262 nt
Filed under: uncultured bacterium
Lineage: Bacteria
Description: partial 16S ribosomal RNA
Rfam family: Bacterial small subunit ribosomal RNA
Source: RNAcentral